This 30-nucleotide non-coding RNA is filed under the name Mus musculus (house mouse). The record is from RNAcentral. Lineage: Eukaryota; Metazoa; Chordata; Mammalia; Rodentia; Muridae.
GCAUAUUAUGCAGGUGGGACCGAUUGUAGG